AUUGAACGCUGGCGGCAGGCUUAACACAUGCAAGUCGAGCGGAGUGAUGGUGCUUGCACUAUCACUUAGCGGCGGACGGGUGAGUAAUGCUUAGGAAUCUGCCUAUUAGUGGGGGACAACAUCUCGAAAGGGAUGCUAAUACCGCAUACGUCCUACGGGAGAAAGCAGGGGAUCACUUGUGACCUUGCGCUAAUAGAUGAGCCUAAGUCGGAUUAGCUAGUUGGUGGGGUAAAGGCCUACCAAGGCGACGAUCUGUAGCGGGUCUGAGAGGAUGAUCCGCCACACUGGGACUGAGACACGGCCCAGACUCCUACGGGAGGCAGCAGUGGGGAAUAUUGGACAAUGGGGGGAACCCUGAUCCAGCCAUGCCGCGUGUGUGAAGAAGGCCCUCUGGUUGUAAAGCACUUUAAGCGAGGAGGAGGCUCUUUUGGUUAAUACCCAAGAUGAGUGGACGUUACUCGCAGAAUAAGCACCGGCUAACUCUGUGCCAGCCGCCGCCGUAA
Molecule: ribosomal RNA, 503 nt
Filed under: uncultured bacterium
Lineage: Bacteria
Description: partial 16S ribosomal RNA
Rfam family: Bacterial small subunit ribosomal RNA
Source: RNAcentral